CGCUACCAUGCAAGUCGAACGGAGUCAAGAGGAGCUUGCUUUUCUUGACUUAGUGGCGAACGGGUGAGUAACGCGUGAGUAACCUGCCCUGGAGUGGGGGACAACAGUUGGAAACGACUGCUAAUACCGCAUAAGCCCACGGCCCGGCAUCGGGCUGCGGGAAAAGGAUUUAUUCGCUUCAGGAUGGACUCGCGUCCAAUUAGCUAGUUGGUGAGGUAACGGCCCACCAAGGCGACGACUGGUAGCCGGACUGAGAGGUUGAACGGCCACAUUGGGACUGAGACACGGCCCAGACUCCUACGGGAGGCAGCAGUGGGGGAUAUUGCACAAUGGGGGAAACCCUGAUGCAGCGACGCCGCGUGGAGGAAGAAGGUUUUCGGAUUGUAAACUCCUGUCGUUAGGGACGAUAAUGACGGUACCUAACAAGAAAGCACCGGCUAACUACGUGCCAGCAGCCGCGGUAAAACGUAGGGUGCAAGCGUUGUCCGGAAUUACUGGGUGUAAAGGGAGCGCAGGCGGACCGGCAAGUUGGAAGUGAAAACUAUGGGCUCAACCCAUAAAUUGCUUUCAAAACUGCUGGCCUUGAGUAGUGCAGAGGUAGGUGGAAUUCCCGGUGUAGCGGUGGAAUGCGUAGAUAUCGGGAGGAACACCAGUGGCGAAGGCGACCUACUGGGCACCAACUGACGCUGAGGCUCGAAAGCAUGGGUAGCAAACAGGAUUAGAUACCCUGGUAGUCCAUGCCGUAAACGAUGAUUACUAGGUGUUGGAGGAUUGACCCCUUCAGUGCCGCAGUUAACACAAUAAGUAAUCCACCUGGGGAGUACGACCGCAAGGUUGAAACUCAAAGGAAUUUGACGGGGGCCCCCACAAGCCAGUUGGAGUAUGGUGGUUUAAUUCGAAGCAACGCGAAGAACUUUACCAA
Molecule: ribosomal RNA, 922 nt
Filed under: uncultured Subdoligranulum sp.
Lineage: Bacteria; Bacillati; Bacillota; Clostridia; Eubacteriales; Oscillospiraceae
Description: bacterial SSU rRNA
Rfam family: Bacterial small subunit ribosomal RNA
Source: RNAcentral